This 709-nucleotide ribosomal RNA is filed under the name uncultured Enterobacteriaceae bacterium. RNAcentral describes it as "bacterial SSU rRNA". It matches the Rfam family "Bacterial small subunit ribosomal RNA", at positions 793 to 1502 of the family's 1533-position model. The record is from RNAcentral. Lineage: Bacteria; Pseudomonadati; Pseudomonadota; Gammaproteobacteria; Enterobacterales; Enterobacteriaceae.
AGUCACGCUGUAAACGAUGUCGAUUUGGAGUUUGUUGCCUAGAGUGAUGGGCUCCGAAGCUAACGCGAUAAAUCGACCGCUGGGGAGUACGGCCGCAAGGUUAAAACUCAAAUGAAUUGACGGGGGCCCGCACAAGCGGUGGAGCAUGUGGUUUAAUUCGAUGCAACGCGAAGAACCUUACCUACUCUUGACAUCCAGAGAAUUUAGCAGAGAUGCUUUAGUGCCUUCGGGAACUCUGAGACAGGUGCUGCAUGGCUGUCGUCAGCUCGUGUUGUGAAAUGUUGGGUUAAGUCCCGCAACGAGCGCAACCCUUAUCCUUUGUUGCCAGCACAUUAUGGUGGGAACUCAAAGGAGACUGCCGGUGAUAAACCGGAGGAAGGUGGGGAUGACGUCAAGUCAUCAUGGCCCUUACGAGUAGGGCUACACACGUGCUACAAUGGCGUAUACAAAGAGAAGCGACCUCGCGAGAGCAAGCGGAACUCAUAAAGUACGUCGUAGUCCGGAUUGGAGUCUGCAACUCGACUCCAUGAAGUCGGAAUCGCUAGUAAUCGUAGAUCAGAAUGCUACGGUGAAUACGUUCCCGGGCCUUGUACACACCGCCCGUCACACCAUGGGAGUGGGUUGCAAAAGAAGUAGGUAGCUUAACCUUCGGGAGGGCGCUUACCACUUUGUGAUUCAUGACUGGGGUGAAGUCGUAACAAGGUAACCA